RNA transcript from Octodon degus (degu), 484 nucleotides. It is a transcript of the gene named 40S ribosomal protein S25 pseudogene, with no coding region annotated. NCBI's taxonomy places the organism in Eukaryota, Metazoa, Chordata, Mammalia, Rodentia, Octodontidae. The transcript has a single exon. The record is from RefSeq and is a predicted model, not a curated record.
UUUCUGUCCGACAUCUUGACGAGCCUGCAGUGGUCUUCGCUGCUCUCCGGGCUCCGCGAUGCCGCCCAAAGACGACAAGAAGAAGAAAGAUGCCGGAAAGUCGGCCAAGAAAGACAAAGACCCACUGAACAAAUCUGGGGGCAAGGCCAAAAAAAAGAAGUGGUCCAAAGGCAAAGUUCGGGACAAGCUGAACAACUUGGUUCUGUUCGAUAAAGCUACUUACGACAAACUCUGUAAGGAAGUUCCCAACUAUAAACUCAUAACGCCUGCUGUGGUCUCUGAGAGACUGAAGAUCCGUGGAUCACUGGCCAGAGCAGCCCUUCAGGAGCUCCUUAGUAAAGGGCUUAUCAAGUUGGUUUCAAAGCACAGAGCUCAAGUUAUUUAUACCAGAAAUACCAAGGGUGGAGAUGCUCCUGCCGCUGGUGAAGAUGCAUGAUGAAUAGGCUCAACCAGGUGUACAUUUGGAAAAAAUAAAAUUUUAUUA